Molecule: ribosomal RNA, 400 nt
Filed under: uncultured bacterium
Lineage: Bacteria
Description: bacterial SSU rRNA
Rfam family: Bacterial small subunit ribosomal RNA
Source: RNAcentral
UAGGGAAUAUUGGUCAAUGGAUGCAAGUCUGAACCAGCCAUGCCGCGUGCAGGAAGAAGGCGUUAUGCGUUGUAAACUGCUUUUGCCAGGGGAUAAAAUAACCUUGCGAGGUUAAUUGAAGGUACCUGGUGAAUAAGCCACGGCUAACUACGUGCCAGCAGCCGCGGUAAUACGUAGGUGGCGAGCGUUGUCCGGAUUUAUUGGGUUUAAAGGGUGCGUAGGCGGCCCUGUAAGUCAGUGCUGAAAUAUCCCGGCUUAACCGGGAGGGUGGCAUUGAUACUGCGGGGCUUGAGUGGAGUCGAAGUAGGCGGAAUUGACGGUGUAGCGGUGAAAUGCUUAGAUAUCGUCAAGAACACCGAUAGUGAAGACAGUUUACUAGGCUUUUACUGACGCUGAGGCA